Molecule: ribosomal RNA, 405 nt
Filed under: uncultured bacterium
Lineage: Bacteria
Description: partial 16S ribosomal RNA
Rfam family: Bacterial small subunit ribosomal RNA
Source: RNAcentral
GACGAACGCUGGCGGCGUGCUUAACACAUGCAAGUCGAACGAGUGGCGAACGGGUGAGUAAUACGUGGGUAACCUGCCCUCCUUUUUGGGAUAAGCCUUGGAAACGGGGUCUAAUACCGAAUAAAGGGGGAUGGGCUCUCGGCCUAUCAGCUUGUUGGUGGGGUAAUGGCUACCAAGGCGCGACGGGUAGCCGGCCUGAGAGGGUGUACGGCCUCAUUGGGACUUAGGUACGGCCCAGACGCCUACGGGGGGCAGCGGUGGGGAAUAUUGCGCAAUGGGCGGAAGCCUGAUGCAGCGACGCCGGGUGGGGAAUGAAGGCCUUCGGGUUGUAAACUCCUUUCGACAGGGACGCGGUACCUGUAUAAGAAGCACCGGCUAACUACGUGCCAGCAGCCGCGGUAAUAC